AGAAGUUUUGGGCCCAGAUUCCCAAACAAAUGAAAAGGCCUCAUUGGUUCAAUGUGAAGCUUUAUCCUUUUUAUUUUUCAUUAUUUUCUUUUUAUGCUAUUUUUUUUUUUUUCAAUUUGUCUUUGUUUAAAUUUAUUAGCCACAUUCUUUGUAAAUUUUUCUUUUAGAUUCUUCUUAUUUAUAUUUUUCAUUUUGUUUCUACAUAGUUCUCUUUAUGUGUACUAAGUUGAAGAAACGAUAAAUUUUUAUUAAAUUUUAAAUUGAGUUAGAAAAAAUAUUUAUAUAUAAUAAAGUAAAUUAAAUUUAACCGAAC
This 313-nucleotide long non-coding RNA is filed under the name Solanum tuberosum (potato). RNAcentral describes it as "long non-coding RNA (STUB_LNC003524)". Lineage: Eukaryota; Viridiplantae; Streptophyta; Magnoliopsida; Solanales; Solanaceae. The record is from RNAcentral.